AUGAAGAACGUAGCGAAAUGCGAUAAGUAAUGUGAAUUGCAUAAUUCAGUGAAUCAUCGAAUCUUUGAACGCACAUUGCGCCCCCUGGUAUUCCGGGGGGCAUGCCUGUCCGAGCGUCAUUACAACCCUCAAGCUCAGCUUGGUGUUGGGCCCCGCCGCCCCGGCGGGCCCUAAAGUCAGUGGCGGUGCCGUCCGGCUCCGAGCGUAGUAAUUCUUCUCGCUCUGGAGGUCCGGUCGUGUGCUCGCCAGCAACCCCCAAUUUUUUUCAGGUUGACCUCGGAUCAGGUAGGGAUACCCGCUUAACUUAAGCAUAUCAAUAAGCGGAGGA
Molecule: unclassified non-coding RNA, 328 nt
Filed under: soil metagenome
Description: partial contains 5.8S ribosomal RNA, internal transcribed spacer 2, and large subunit ribosomal RNA
Rfam family: 5.8S ribosomal RNA (bases 1-119)
Source: RNAcentral